This is a long non-coding RNA of Oncorhynchus tshawytscha (Chinook salmon), 1231 nucleotides long. NCBI's taxonomy places the organism in Eukaryota, Metazoa, Chordata, Actinopteri, Salmoniformes, Salmonidae. The record is from Ensembl.
CUAUUGGCAGGGUUUACCUCCAGACCCACACACUCUCUGAGUCCAUCUAUUGGCAGGGUUUACCUCCAGACCCACACACUCUCUGAGUCCAUCUAUUGACAGGGUUUACCUCCAGACCCACACACUCGCUGAGUCCAUCUAUUGGCAGGGUUUACCUCCAGACCCACACAUGAUGUUUAUGGUGCUGUCAAAGUGACCAUGUGGUCCAGUAGAUGGAGUGGUUGUGGUGGUAUAAAGGCCCAUAGCUACACAGACUGGACACAUUAAUCAGUGUCCAAUUUACACAGCACCAUCCAGAGGAGAAGAUGGGUUCUGAACUUCUGAAUGCAAACAUAAAGGGCAUCUGUUAGGCAUUGGGUUUAACAGACCUAGGGCUAGGCUAGACGAAGGGUUUAACAGACCUAGGGCUAGGCUAGACGAAGGGUUUAACAGACCUAGGGCUAGGCUAGACGAAGGGUUUACCAGACCUAGGUUUAGAGGAAGGGAUCCCCAUGACAACAUCAACUGAAUUACAAUAUGAACAUCUAAAAUGGUGGGUAGCCUGGAGAGGAGGAGGAGGGGGGGUGAAUGGAGAAAUUAAUGAACAGGGUAGAGAGAGCCCAUCCCACCCUCACCAGGGCCUCUCGUCUCUGAAGUCCGCGCCCGCCCCGUUUCUCUCUCUCUCCUCUCCCUGCCUGAUGCUGCCAGCCAGCAGGGAAACUAGGUCACUGAACUCUGUCUGCUCUCUGUUUUUUUGUAUAUAAAUUAAAGCCAAAAGGCUGAACUCUCUCACUCCCUCUCUAGCCGGUCAGCGGUCGCCACAAAGCUUUUCACCAGAGGGUUAGAGUAAAAAACACACAAGCAGGCACACACAAACAGGCACACACAAACAGGCACACACACACACAAACAGGCACACACACACAAACAGGCACAAACAAACAGGCACACACAUACACAAACAGGCACACACACACAAACAGGCAUAUACACACACAAACAGACAGGCACACACAAACAGGCACGCAUGCAGACAGACAGGGUAAAACACUAAAACAUGCAUGUGGCACUCACACACACAGUAAACAAACCCAGAUAUCCAGUAUAAUCCUCUCUGGCUAAAUAUGUUUGGGGUUUGUAAGGAGAGGGUUAAAAUAAGUAAUGUUGUGCAGGAGGCUGCAGUGCAGGAGGCUGCAGUGCAGGAGGCUGCAGUGCAGGAGGCUGCAGUGCAGGAGGCUGCAGUGCAGGAGGC